UGAUAUGGUCGUAGUACGGCGACCAGUAUAAUCGAAAGAAACGUACAAACGGA
This 53-nucleotide non-coding RNA is filed under the name unclassified sequences. RNAcentral describes it as "6A RNA". It matches the Rfam family "6A RNA". Rfam says of the family: Actinobacteria (1 example), Firmicutes, Fusobacteria. Terminator (Clostridia) The record is from Rfam by way of RNAcentral.